This 669-nucleotide ribosomal RNA is filed under the name uncultured bacterium. RNAcentral describes it as "bacterial SSU rRNA". It matches the Rfam family "Bacterial small subunit ribosomal RNA", at positions 237 to 917 of the family's 1533-position model. The record is from RNAcentral.
CCUAUCAGUUAGUUGGUGAGGUAAUGGCUCAACAAGGCGACGACGGGUAUCCGGCCUGAGAGGGCGACCGGACACACUGGGACUGAGACACGGCCCAGACUCCUACGGGAGGCAGCAGUGGGGAAUAUUGGGCAAUGGACGCAAGUCUGACCCAGCGACGCCGCGUGCGGGAUGAAGGCCUUCGGGUUGUAAACCGCUUUCAGUAGGGAAGAAGCGAAAGUGACGGUACCUACAAAAGAAGCACCGGCUAACUAUGUGCCAGCAGCCGCGGUAAUACAUAGGGUGCAAGCGUUGUCCGGAAUUAUUGGGCGUAAAGAACUCGUAGGUGGUUUGUUACGUCGGAUGUGAAAAUCAGGGGCUCAACCCCUGACCUGCAUUCGAUACGGGCAGACUGGAGUGUGGUAGGGGAGACUGGAAUUCCUGGUGUAGCGGUGGAAUGCGCAGAUAUCAGGAGGAACACCAAUGGCGAAGGCAGGUCUCUGGGCCAUUACUGACACUGAGGAGUGAAAGUGUGGGGAGCGAACAGGAUUAGAUACCCUGGUAGUCCACACCGUAAACGAUGGACGCUAGUUGUGGGGACCUUCCACGGUUUCUGCGACGCAGCUAACGCAUUAAGCGUCCCGCCUGGGGAGUACGAUCGCAAGAUUAAAACUCAAAGGAAUUGACGGG